RNAcentral lists this long non-coding RNA (1234 nucleotides) under Phoenix dactylifera (date palm). Its description in RNAcentral is "long non-coding RNA (PDAC_LNC006526)". The record is from RNAcentral. Lineage: Eukaryota; Viridiplantae; Streptophyta; Magnoliopsida; Arecales; Arecaceae.
GGGGAUCAAGAUCAAGUCAAGAGUUGAAGACGAUCAAACCAAUUGACGUGCAUGUGCUUGUAAAAUGACCCCAUCCUGGAUCCAUGACCAUCAUCAUUUAAAUUUUAUUUGUUGAUAAAUGCCUGGAUGUUUAAUGCUUAUGUCUAUGCGGGUAGAUAUAUAUUUACAUGAGAUGUGAAUAGUCGAUCGAGAUAGACCUAAAUACAAAUCUCCCCAAUCAGUCGAGAGUGAACCAACAUGAGCUAGUCAUAUUAGAUUAAUUGAUCUAAUUGGUGUCUAGGCAAGCCUAAAAGAUGGUUACUUAAUUAGGACCUUACUCUCCGAGUAAGGAGAGCCUUCCACCUGCUUACCUAGCCAAUUGUUCGAUUACCUCUUAUGAAGAACUCAAGUUGCAAACAUUAAGACAUGAUUUCACAAUAUUAAGUCCAUAGGUCUUCCACCGUAGUAGAGCUGCUAAGGUCUUUCCAGUGUUGAUUUGUCUCGGCUGGACACAGUGGACAAGUUGCAUCGGGGGGCUAGAUCUCUCUAUUAGACAUGAGAUGUUGCGGAGUAAAUGUGGGGUUGGGCACCAAUAACUGUUAGGUGAGGACCCAAUGACGACUUUAUUUCUGCGGUUAUACGGUGGGUCUGACUUAACUAAGUAAUGGGGCCAAUAACUGUUAGAUGAUGUCUUCAUGACUUAGAGACCAAGUACCACUGCAAUUUGCUUGAGAAGCAUUGUACAAGAGUUGUACACUCAUCCAUUUAUAUGUCACCAAUAACUGUUAGGUGAGGCGGCAUGUAAAUCGGUGAGACCGCAGUACCCACUAGAAACCCUAGUCGCAUAGGGUUUUCGUUUCUCCAUCAGGGGAGAAUAGGGAUUCGAGAAAAUAGUGAGAGUGCAAUUAUUCUAAAAGACCCUAGAAUAAAUUAAGAUCAAGUACAAAGUCUAACUAGAAUCUUCACUCUCUACAGAUCACAAUAUUAGCUUCAAAUCCUUUGACCCGUAUUCUUGAGACCAACCGACUGACCGGAACCAAUUACAAAGACUGGCUUAGAAACCUGAAAAUUGUUCUAAGUUGCGAGAAAAUAUGGAUGUACUCGAGAAUGAUAUCCCCAGGUUACCAUCACGUCCGACCGAUGAACAGCGUGAGACGCAUGAAAAAUGGACGGAUGAUGACGAUAGGGUCAAGUGCUACAUCAUGGCAUCCAUAACUAAUGAACUUCAAUGCCAGCAUGAUAAUAUAGAAGACUG